This 66-nucleotide transfer RNA is filed under the name zebrafish metagenome. It matches the Rfam family "tRNA". Rfam says of the family: Transfer RNA (tRNA) molecules are approximately 80 nucleotides in length. Their secondary structure includes four short double-helical elements and three loops (D, anti-codon, and T loops). The record is from RNAcentral.
GGGAGUAGUUUAGUGGUAGAACCUUAGCCUUCCAAGCUAAUGAUACGGGUUCGAUUCCCGUCUCCC